This 301-nucleotide ribosomal RNA is filed under the name uncultured bacterium. RNAcentral describes it as "partial 16S ribosomal RNA". It matches the Rfam family "Bacterial small subunit ribosomal RNA", at positions 509 to 809 of the family's 1533-position model. The record is from RNAcentral.
CAGCAGCCGCGGUAAUACGGAAGGUCCAGGCGUUAUCCGGAUUUAUUGGGUUUAAAGGGAGUGUAGGCGGUCUGUUAAGCGUGUUGUGAAAUUUAGGUGCUCAACAUCUAACUUGCAGCGCGAACUGGCGGACUUGAGUGCACGCAACGUAUGCGGAAUUCAUGGUGUAGCGGUGAAAUGCUUAGAUAUCAUGACGAACUCCGAUUGCGAAGGCAGCGUACGGGAGUGUUACUGACGCUUAAGCUCGAAGGUGCGGGUAUCGAACAGGAUUAGAUACCCCAGUAGUCCCUGUCUCUUAUAU